UACGUAGGCAGCAAGCGUUGUUCGGAAUUACUGGGCGUAAAGGGCGUGCAGGCGGUCUGUUAAGUUCAGGGUGAAAGCUCCCGGCUCAACUGGGAGAGGUCCUUGGAUACUGGCAGACUUGAGGAGGGUAGAGGAGACUGGAAUUCCUGGUGUAGCGGUGGAAUGCGCAGAUAUCAGGAGGAACACCGAUGGCGAAGGCAGGUCUCUGGGCCACUACUGACGCUGAGAAGCGAAAGCAUGGGGAGCGAACAGG
This 253-nucleotide ribosomal RNA is filed under the name uncultured bacterium. RNAcentral describes it as "partial 16S ribosomal RNA". It matches the Rfam family "Bacterial small subunit ribosomal RNA", at positions 524 to 776 of the family's 1533-position model. The record is from RNAcentral.